This 250-nucleotide ribosomal RNA is filed under the name uncultured bacterium. Its description in RNAcentral is "partial 16S ribosomal RNA". It matches the Rfam family "Bacterial small subunit ribosomal RNA", at positions 524 to 773 of the family's 1533-position model. The record is from RNAcentral.
UACGUAGGGAGCAAGCGUUGUCCGGAUUUACUGGGCGUAAAGGGCGCGUAGGUGGUCUAUUAAGUUAUAGGUGAAAGUUCGGGGCUCAACCCCGUGAUUGCCUGUGAUACUGGUAGACUUGAGUGCAGGAGAGGGGAGCAGAAUUCCCAGUGUAGCGGUGAAAUGCGUAGAUAUUGGGAGGAAUACCAGUGGCGAAGGCGGCUCUCUGGACUGUAACUGACACUGAGGCGCGAAAGCGUGGGGAGCGAAC